Molecule: ribosomal RNA, 445 nt
Filed under: uncultured bacterium
Lineage: Bacteria
Description: partial 16S ribosomal RNA
Rfam family: Bacterial small subunit ribosomal RNA
Source: RNAcentral
GUAGGGAAUAUUGGGCAAUGGAGGCAACUCUGACCCAGCCAUGCCGCGUGCAGGAUGACGGCCCUCUGGGUUGUAAACUGCUUUUAUACGGGAAGAAAAAAUACUACGUGUAGUAUACUGACGGUACCGUAAGAAUAAGGAUCGGCUAACUCCGUGCCAGCAGCCGCGGUAAUACGGAGGAUCCAAGCGUUGUCCGGAUUUACUGGGUUUAAAGGGUGCGUAGGCGGAUCUUUAAGUCAGUGGUGAAAGCCUGCAGCUUAACUGUAGAAUUGCCAUUGAAACUGAAGAUCUUGAAUGUGGUUAAAGUAGGCGGAAUGUAUCAUGUAGCGGUGAAAUGCUUAGAUAUGAUACAGAACACCGAUAGCGAAGGCAGCUUGCUGAACCAUUAUUGACGCUGAGGCACGAAAGCGUGGGGAGCGAACAGGAUUAGAAACCCCUGUAGUCC